GACGAACGCUGGCGGCGUGCUUAACACAUGCAAGUCGAACGGAAAGGCCCCUUUGGGGGUCCUCGAGUGGCGACCGGGUGCGUAACACUUGAGUAACCUGCCCUUUACUUCGUUAUAACUUCAAUAAACUGGGGCUAAUACCGGUUAGGAAUCAUUGCUGCAUCGUGGGGGUUGGAAAGCUCCUGCGGCUUUGGAUGAACUCGCGGGGUAUCAGCUUGUUGGUGGGGUAGUGGGUUACCAACGCUUUGACGGGUAGACGGACUGGGAGGGCGACCGGCCACACUGGGACUGAGGGACGGCCCAGACGCCUACGGGAGGCAGCAGUGGGGAAGAUUGCACAAUGGGCGGAAGGCUGAUGAAGCAACGCCGCGUGCGGGAUGACGGUCUUCGGGUGGUAAAACGCCUUCAGCAGGGGCGAAGCUUGUGGUGACGGUACCUGCAGAAGAAGCACCGGCUAACUACGUG
This 465-nucleotide ribosomal RNA is filed under the name uncultured bacterium. Its description in RNAcentral is "partial 16S ribosomal RNA". It matches the Rfam family "Bacterial small subunit ribosomal RNA", at positions 28 to 507 of the family's 1533-position model. The record is from RNAcentral.